UCUCCGUAGGUGAACCUGCGGAGGGAUCAUUACAGGGUUCAUGCCCUACCGGGUAGAUCUCCCACCCUAUGUUAUUAUUACUUUGUUGCUUUGGAGGGCCGUUAGGCUCCGGCCCGACUACCGGCCCCGGCUGGUAAGCGCCCGCCAGAGGACCCAAAACCCUGAAUAUUAGUGUCGUCUGAGUACUAUAUAAUAGUUAAGACUUUCAACAACGGAUCUCUUGGUUCUG
RNAcentral lists this unclassified non-coding RNA (229 nucleotides) under plant metagenome. RNAcentral describes it as "partial contains small subunit ribosomal RNA, internal transcribed spacer 1, and 5.8S ribosomal RNA". The record is from RNAcentral.